RNAcentral lists this ribosomal RNA (115 nucleotides) under Albimonas pacifica. The record is from RNAcentral. Lineage: Bacteria; Pseudomonadati; Pseudomonadota; Alphaproteobacteria; Rhodobacterales; Paracoccaceae.
UCCGGCGGUCACAGCGCAAGGGAAACACCCGAUCCCUUCCCGAACUCGGCCGUUAAGCCCUGCCGCGCCGAUGGUACUGCGACUCAAGUCGUGGGAGAGUAGGUCGCCGCCGGAC